This 71-nucleotide transfer RNA is filed under the name Loxodonta africana (African savanna elephant). It matches the Rfam family "tRNA". Rfam says of the family: Transfer RNA (tRNA) molecules are approximately 80 nucleotides in length. The record is from Rfam by way of RNAcentral. Lineage: Eukaryota; Metazoa; Chordata; Mammalia; Proboscidea; Elephantidae.
GCAGUGGUGAUUCAGCAUUUGAAUUCUUACCUUUUAUGCAGGAGACCUGGGUUUGAUUCCUGGCCAGUGCA